UACAGAGGUUGUUACUGGUCGUUAAUGGAGUAAGUAAAGCUCAACCAUAGAGAGUAUUGUCGGAUGUUUGGAAUGAGUGUUUUUCAGGAAGAUGAGGAUAAGAGUAAUAAGGAUGGUACUCUACGAAUUGGAGAGAACAACGAGAAUGUGGUCAUCAGUAAUACGUGUGGGGUUCAUGGCUGUAAGUCGAAGGCAAUGGCGCUUACGAGGUUCUGUCAUAUGCAUAUAUUGUCAGAUUCUAUGCAGAAGUUGUACAAGGAUUGCAGUUUCGCCAUCAAAAGGGAGAAGGAUGAUUACGAGGUGGCAAGGAAAGUUGGGAGAGGGAAGUAUAGCGAGGUGUUUGAGGGAAUUCACACUACUAAUAAUGAAAAUGCAUCAUCAAAAUCCUUAAGCCAGUGAAGAAGAAAAAGAUCAAGCGUGAGAUUAAGAUACUGCAGAAUCUUUGUGGUGGACCUAAUAUUUUGAAGUUACUCGAUAUUGUCAGAGAUCAGCAGUCGAAGACCCCAAGUCUUAUAUUUGAAUAUGUGAAUAACACAAAUUUUAAAGUGUUUUAUCUAACUCUUUCUAACUUUGACGUUGGAUAUUACAUCUAUGAGAUUUUAAAGUGAUAAUAUUAUACUAUUUUUUUCCAUUCACAGGUGAAUCAAUAGAACAUUGUUUAUGGAA
Molecule: long non-coding RNA, 666 nt
Organism: Solanum stenotomum
Lineage: Eukaryota; Viridiplantae; Streptophyta; Magnoliopsida; Solanales; Solanaceae
Exons: 3
Source: RefSeq, a predicted model, not a curated record